UCCGUAGGUGAACCUGCGGAGGGAUCAUUACACAAUAUGAAGGCGGGCUGGAUACCCCCAGCAGUGCGUUGCUUUGCGGCGUGCGCUGUUGGGCCGGCCUUGCUGAAUUAUUCACCCGUGUCUUUUGCGUACUUCUUGUUUCCUUGGUGGGCUCGCCCACCAUAGGACAAACCCAUAAACCUUUUUGUAAUAGCAAUCAGCGUCAGUAACAAUGUAAUAAUUACAACUUUCAACAACGGAUCUCUUGGUUCUGGCAUCGAUGAAGAACGCAGCGAAAUGCGAUACGUAGUGUGAAUUGCAGAAUUCAGUGAAUCAUCGAAUCUUUGAACGCACAUUGCGCCCUUUGGUAUUCCAAAGGGCAUGCCUGUUCGAGCGUCAUUUGUACCCUCAAGCUUUGCUUGGUGUUGGGCGUCUUGUCUCCAGUUCGCUGGAGACUCGCCUUAAAGUCAUUGGCAGCCGGCCUACUGGUUUCGGAGCGCAGCACAAGUCGCGCUCUCUUCCAGCCAAGGUCAGCGUCCAGUAAGCCUUUUUUUCAACUUUUGACCUCGGAUCAGGUAGGGAUACCCGCUGAACUUAAGCAUAUCAAUAAGCGGAGGA
RNAcentral lists this ribosomal RNA (597 nucleotides) under Alternaria sp. F29 HF-2010. RNAcentral's name for it is "eukaryotic LSU rRNA". The stretch from base 225 to 378 matches the Rfam family "5.8S ribosomal RNA". The record is from RNAcentral. Lineage: Eukaryota; Fungi; Ascomycota; Dothideomycetes; Pleosporales; Pleosporaceae.